This 251-nucleotide ribosomal RNA is filed under the name uncultured bacterium. RNAcentral's name for it is "partial 16S ribosomal RNA". It matches the Rfam family "Bacterial small subunit ribosomal RNA", at positions 524 to 776 of the family's 1533-position model. The record is from RNAcentral.
UACGUAGGGGGCAAGCGUUGUCCGGAAUUAUUGGGCGUAAAGCGCGCGCAGGCGGUUUUUAAGUCUGAUGUUUAAGCCCGGGGCUCAACCCCGGUUCGCAUUGGAAACUGGAAGACUUGAGUGCAGGAGAGGAAAGUGGAAUUCCACGUGUAGCGGUGAAAUGCGUAGAGAUGUGGAGGAACACCAGUGGCGAAGGCGACUUUCUGGACUGUAACUGACGCUGAGGCGCGAAAGCGUGGGGAGCAAACAGG